This 425-nucleotide ribosomal RNA is filed under the name Salmonella enterica. Its description in RNAcentral is "partial 23S ribosomal RNA". It matches the Rfam family "Bacterial large subunit ribosomal RNA", at positions 610 to 1035 of the family's 2925-position model. Lineage: Bacteria; Pseudomonadati; Pseudomonadota; Gammaproteobacteria; Enterobacterales; Enterobacteriaceae. The record is from RNAcentral.
GUAUAAUGGGUCAGCGACUUAUAUUCUGUAGCAAGGUUAACCGAAUAGGGGAGCCGGAGGGAAACCGAGUCUUAACCGGGCGUUAAGUUGCAGGGUAUAGACCCGAAACCCGGUGAUCUAGCCAUGGGCAGGUUGAAGGUUGGGUAACACUAACUGGAGGACCGAACCGACUAAUGUUGAAAAAUUAGCGGAUGACCUGUGGCUGGGGGUGAAAGGCCAAUCAAACCGGGAGAUAGCUGGUUCUCCCCGAAAGCUAUUUAGGUAGCGCCUCGUGAAUUCAUCUCCGGGGGUAGAGCACUGUUUCGGCUAGGGGGCCAUCCCGGCUUACCAACCCGAUGCAAACUGCGAAUACCGGAGAAUGUUAUCACGGGAGACACACGGCGGGUGCUAACGUCCGUCGUGAAGAGGGAAACAACCCAGACCGC